GACAUAGGUGGCGAUCGUUAUCCGGAUUUAUUGGGCGUAAAGGAUGCGUAGAUGGUGGAAUAAGUUAUUGGUCAAAGUCAAGCUCAACUUGGCGGAAGCUGGUAAUACUAUUCUACUUGAGGACAGGAGAGGUUGGCGGAAUUCUGUGUGGAGCGGUGAAAUGCGUUGAUCUACAGAGGAACACCAAAAAAGGCGAAGGCAGCCAACUAUUCUGCUCCUGACAUUGAGGCAUGAAAGCGUGGGGAGCAAACCGG
This 254-nucleotide ribosomal RNA is filed under the name uncultured bacterium. RNAcentral's name for it is "partial 16S ribosomal RNA". It matches the Rfam family "Bacterial small subunit ribosomal RNA", at positions 524 to 776 of the family's 1533-position model. The record is from RNAcentral.